This is a long non-coding RNA of Macrobrachium nipponense, 2313 nucleotides long. RefSeq lists it as uncharacterized. The transcript is spliced from 4 exons. NCBI's taxonomy places the organism in Eukaryota, Metazoa, Arthropoda, Malacostraca, Decapoda, Palaemonidae. The record is from RefSeq and is a predicted model, not a curated record.
GUAGUUUGUCAUUGGUUGUGUAUUUUGUGUUGCGAUGUGUUGACGUUCUUGACUGAUUUAACUUGCAAUUCGGUGUGGUUCAAUGAGAUUUAUAAUGGAACAUCGAAUAAUCCGGAGAGCCAGACCACUACAGCCUGGUGUAAGGUACGCUAAAGUUUAGCGGCUAAACUCUGUCGAAAUCUGGCAAGUUGAGCCGUCCCAAGAACAGAAGAAGGCUGCGGAACUCUCUGCAUUCUUCAGUUUUCCCCUCGGGAUGAAGAACCUAUUGGUCAGCUUGAUCGUCUCCACAGCUACAAGAUGAACUUGCUUCACAUCUCAUCCCAACCAACAUGGUGCAGUAAGGAAUUACAGGGAGAAGCAAGCUAAGAUACAGGAGACUUUCAGAAGACCAUACAGCCACCAGUUUCUCUUUACUUGCUGGACCAAUAUGACGCCGCCCAACUCGCCCAGCAUUCACAAGACCCUAUCUAUUGUCCACAGUCACCACCUGUUCUCCAUCCCCAGACAACAAUACCCCAAUCAGCAGAUUUCCUUUUGCUCAUAUAAUACCUGAGAAAAGAGGAGAGACAAAGAAAAUAAGAAGAUUUAAGGAUUGAACAAGAGAAAGGAUCCAACAAAAGAGAGAGAGGAGUAUGAAAUUCGCAUGUAACAGUGGUUUUCUGCACGUUCUACCCCCUCGUACAGCAGGCAACCACAGGAUCAGCCCCACAGGAAGCCCCAGCAUGCCUCUUUGACACCUGCAGCUCCUACCUUGCCACCAGAAUGUGCAACGACCCCAUCAGCAUUCCCUCCACAGAAUGCAAUCGCCCUUUGCCUAGAUGUAACUCUUAAAAUUUUUCAGGAAUGGUGAAGUCAAUGGCACAGUUAUCCUCUCAUGGUGGAUCUCCCCAAUUUACCCAGAGAGAAACAAUUAAUCCAGAUGAGGAGGAUGUGUCAUACCCUGGGACACCAGAAUAAGUGUCAUUUAGUGUUGCAUGCCCUACAAGAACACAUCUAGAGCCUUUGGAAUGAGACUACAUCAUAGGGAGCCGCUCCUGCUAACAGUAAGAGGAAGUCUUUUUCAGACUUUUAUGUAACCAAUAACUCUCUACACGAUAUUAUCAAAACACACCUAUGAGGCUACCAGGAAGGCCACUUCUGCAGUUUGUGCUUUGCCUUCUCAGCUGCCCUCUCAAACUAAAGGAAGCAGAAGAAGCAGGGAAAGGGUACCGCACCAUCACAGUCUCUUACAUGCAAGUCACACAAUUGCACGUCAGGAUCCACAAUGUGUCAGCAUCUGCAGCAACUGUGCCCAGGCACAGAGGUGUCCCGGCAGACAGAUCCAGUACUACCACUGCAACCAACAGGGACAUUAUGACAAGUCCUCCUGGAAGAAGACAAGGGAUGUAAAACAAGGUGCCCUUCCCAGUGCCAAGCCUACACCUUUCCAGUGACAAACCUACACCACCCUCUCUGGGCAAAAACCCCAGCUGUCAUUGGAUGGGAAGAACUUCUAUCAAGACACUACAGCCAAUCUCCAUUUCCCUCUCGUAUGAUGACAUCACAACCAGGAUUCAGAUGCUGCCAGACAUAGGUGCUGAUGUCUCUGUUAUGGGACCUCAACAUCUUCACCUUCUGUGGAUUCCUAGGAGCAUACUGCAACCCCAAAUGUUCACUGCAGAUGGCUCUAUAAUGACACCUGCCUUAGGAUCUUUCACGGCCAUUCUCACCCUAGCUCAGAGACCUCAUUCAGCAAGGAUCCAAGUCCAUGAAGGUGUCUGAACACCAUUGCUGUCGUAUAGCCACUACAAAGAGUGAGCCAUUAUUCUGCCAGUGUUUCCAAGACCUAUUCUGGAUGUUAGCCCCUAUUCUGGAUGUUACCUCCUAUUCUGGAUGUUACCUCCUAUUCUGGAUGUUACCCAUACCAAUAGAUGGGACUAUGAGUGUGAAGGGGAAGGAAGAUGUAGAUACUAUAAUUUAUAUGUAGCAUGUAUUUGUCAUUGUAUAAUGUAUUCUUGCCUCCAAUUAUAUUUGCCUUCCAUUAUAUAACAAUGUAUUCUUGCCUCUCAUUAUAUAACAUUGUCCAUUAUAUAACAUGGUAUAUUGAUAAAUGGCAACCGAACAAAUUCCCAAUGGAUCCAAUGCCUAGCAGUAUACAGAUUCCCCUCUCCGAAUUCGGCUGUUCAGGCGUUACCCUUGUUCUUACCUAAUAAAGAACCUCCAUUUUAGAUGAAUUUGUUUCAUGUCUCAUCCUAGAUUGCAUGCUAGCUUUUCGUCUCAAUCUGGGGAUUAUGAUCAAUACUGUGGUAAGGUAAAUUGCGUAAUAAACGUACA